GGUAGUCCACGCCGUAAACGAUGUCGACUUGGGGGUUGUGCCCUUGAGGCGUGGCUUCCGGAGCUAACGCGUUAAGUCGACCGCCUGGGGAGUACGGCCGCAAGGUUAAAACUCAAAUGAAUUGACGGGGGCCCGCACAAGCGGUGGAGCAUGUGGUUUAAUUCGAUGCAACGCGAAGAACCUUACCUGGUCUUGACAUCCACAGAACUUUCCAGAGAUGGAUUGGUGCCUUCGGGAACUGUGAGACAGGUGCUGCAUGGCUGUCGUCAGCUCGUGUUGUGAAAUGUUGGGUUAAGUCCCGCAACGAGCGCAACCCUUAUCCUUUGUUGCCAGCGGUCCGGCCGGGAACUCAAAGGAGACUGUCAGUGAUAAGCCGGAGGAAGGUGGGGAUGACGUCAAGUCCUCAUGGCCCUUACGCGCUGGGCUACACACGUGCUACAAUGGCGGUGACAGUGGGCAGCAAACUCGCGAGAGUGCGCUAAUCUCCAAAAGCCGUCUCAGUUCGGAUUGUUCUCUGCAACUCGAGAGCAUGAAGGCGGAAUCGCUAGUAAUCGCGGAUCAGCAUGCCGCGGUGAAUACGUUCCCAGGCCUUGUACACACCGCCCGUCACACCAUGGGAGUUGGGUUCACCCGAAGGCGUUGCGCUAACUCGCAAGAGAGGCAGGCGACCACGGUGGGUUAGCGACUGGGGGAAGUCGUAACAAGGUAACC
RNAcentral lists this ribosomal RNA (711 nucleotides) under uncultured bacterium. Its description in RNAcentral is "bacterial SSU rRNA". It matches the Rfam family "Bacterial small subunit ribosomal RNA", at positions 789 to 1501 of the family's 1533-position model. The record is from RNAcentral.